Molecule: ribosomal RNA, 314 nt
Filed under: uncultured Sediminibacterium sp.
Lineage: Bacteria; Pseudomonadati; Bacteroidota; Chitinophagia; Chitinophagales; Chitinophagaceae
Description: bacterial SSU rRNA
Rfam family: Bacterial small subunit ribosomal RNA
Source: RNAcentral
AUUAAGGUCCUCUGGAUUGUAAACUUCUUUUAUAUGGGACGAAAAAAGGUCUUUCUAGAUCCCUUGACGGUACCAUAUGAAUAAGCACCGGCUAACUCCGUGCCAGCAGCCGCGGUAAUACGGAGGGUGCAAGCGUUAUCCGGAUUCACUGGGUUUAAAGGGUGCGUAGGCGGGUAGGUAAGUCAGUGGUGAAAUCCUGGAGCUCAACUCCAGAACUGCCAUUGAUACUAUCUGUCUUGAAUAUUGUGGAGGUAAGCGGAAUAUGUCAUGUAGCGGUGAAAUGCUUAGAUAUGACAUAGAACACCCAUUGCGAA